UUUGAACGCUAGCGACAGGCUUAACACAUGCAAGUCGAGGGGCAGCACAGGUAGCAAUACCGGGUGGCGACCGGCGCACGGGUGAGUAACGCGUAUGCAACUUGCCUAUCAGAGGGGGAUAACCCGGCGAAAGUCGGACUAAUACCGCAUGAAGCAGGGGCCCCGCAUGGGGAUAUUUGCUAAAGAUUCAUCGCUGAUAGAUAGGCAUGCGUUCCAUUAGGCAGUUGGCGGGGUAACGGCCCACCAAACCGACGAUGGAUAGGGGUUCUGAGAGGAAGGUCCCCCACAUUGGUACUGAGACACGGACCAAACUCCUACGGGAGGCAGCAGUGAGGAAUAUUGGUCAAUGGGCGUAAGCCUGAACCAGCCAAGUCGCGUGAGGGAUGAAGGUUCUAUGGAUCGUAAACCUCUUUUAUAAGGGAAUAAAGUGCGGGACGUGUCCCGUUUUGUAUGUACCUUAUGAAUAAGGAUCGGCUAACUCCGUGCCAGCAGCCGCGGUAAUACGGAGGAUCCGAGCGUUAUCCGGAUUUAUUGGGUUUAAAGGGUGCGUAGGCGGCCUUUUAAGUCAGCGGUGAAAGUCUGUGGCUCAACCAUAGAAUUGCCGUUGAAACUGGGGGGCUUGAGUAUGUUUGAGGCAGGCGGAAUGCGUGGUGUAGCGGUGAAAUGCAUAGAUAUCACGCAGAACCCCGAUUGCGAAGGCAGCCUGCCAAGCCAUUACUGACGCUGAUGCACGAAAGCGUGGGGAUCAAACAGGAUUAGAUACCCUGGUAGUCCACGCAGUAAACGAUGAUCACUAGCUGUUUGCGAUACACUGUAAGCGGCACAGCGAAAGCGUUAAGUGAUCCACCUGGGGAGUACGCCGGCAACGGUGAAACUCAAAGGAAUUGACGGGGGCCCGCACAAGCGGAGGAACAUGUGGUUUAAUUCGAUGAUACGCGAGGAACCUUACCCGGGUUUGAACGCAUUCGGACCGAGGUGGAAACACCUUUUCUAGCAAUAGCCGUUUGCGAGGUGCUGCAUGGUUGUCGUCAGCUCGUGCCGUGAGGUGUCGGCUUAAGUGCCAUAACGAGCGCAACCCUUGCCACUAGUUACUAACAGGUAAAGCUGAGGACUCUGGUGGGACUGCCAGCGUAAGCUGCGAGGAAGGCGGGGAUGACGUCAAAUCAGCACGGCCCUUACAUCCGGGGCGACACACGUGUUACAAUGGCGUGGACAAAGGGAAGCCACCUGGCGACAGGGAGCGAAUCCCCAAACCACGUCUCAGUUCGGAUCGGAGUCUGCAACCCGACUCCGUGAAGCUGGAUUCGCUAGUAAUCGCGCAUCAGCCAUGGCGCGGUGAAUACGUUCCCGGGCCUUGUACACACCGCCCGUCAAGCCAUGGGAGCCGGGGGUACCUGAAGUCCGUAACCGCGAGGAUCGGCCUAGGG
Molecule: ribosomal RNA, 1427 nt
Filed under: uncultured organism
Description: SSU rRNA
Rfam family: Bacterial small subunit ribosomal RNA
Source: RNAcentral